Molecule: ribosomal RNA, 924 nt
Filed under: Cladosporium herbarum
Lineage: Eukaryota; Fungi; Ascomycota; Dothideomycetes; Cladosporiales; Cladosporiaceae
Description: LSU rRNA
Rfam family: Eukaryotic large subunit ribosomal RNA
Source: RNAcentral
ACCCGCUGAACUUAAGCAUAUCAAUAAGCGGAGGAAAAGAAACCAACAGGGAUUGCUCUAGUAACGGCGAGUGAAGCAGCAAUAGCUCAAAUUUGAAAUCUGGCGUCUUCGACGUCCGAGUUGUAAUUUGUAGAGGAUGCUUCUGAGUGGCCACCGACCUAAGUUCCUUGGAACAGGACGUCAUAGAGGGUGAGAAUCCCGUAUGCGGUCGGAAAGGCGCUCUAUACGUAGCUCCUUCGACGAGUCGAGUUGUUUGGGAAUGCAGCUCUAAAUGGGAGGUAAAUUUCUUCUAAAGCUAAAUAUUGGCCAGAGACCGAUAGCGCACAAGUAGAGUGAUCGAAAGAUGAAAAGCACUUUGGAAAGAGAGUUAAAAAGCACGUGAAAUUGUUAAAAGGGAAGGGAUUGCAACCAGACUUGCUCGCGGUGUUCCGCCGGUCUUCUGACCGGUCUACUCGCCGCGUUGCAGGCCAGCAUCGUCUGGUGCCGCUGGAUAAGACUUGAGGAAUGUAGCUCCCUCGGGAGUGUUAUAGCCUCUUGUGAUGCAGCGAGCGCCGGGCGAGGUCCGCGCUUCGGCUAGGAUGCUGGCGUAAUGGUCGUAAUCCGCCCGUCUUGAAACACGGACCAAGGAGUCUAACAUCUAUGCGAGUGUUCGGGUGUCAAACCCCUACGCGUAAUGAAAGUGAACGGAGGUGAGAACCGCAAGGUGCAUCAUCGACCGAUCCUGAUGUCUUCGGAUGGAUUUGAGUAAGAGCAUAGCUGUUGGGACCCGAAAGAUGGUGAACUAUGCCUGAAUAGGGUGAAGCCAGAGGAAACUCUGGUGGAGGCUCGCAGCGGUUCUGACGUGCGAAUCGAUCGUCAAAUUUGGGUAUAGGGGCGAAAGACUAAUCGAACCAUCUAGUAGCUGGUUCCUGCCGAAGUUUCCCU